This 496-nucleotide ribosomal RNA is filed under the name uncultured bacterium. RNAcentral's name for it is "partial 16S ribosomal RNA". It matches the Rfam family "Bacterial small subunit ribosomal RNA", at positions 28 to 506 of the family's 1533-position model. The record is from RNAcentral.
GAUGAACGCUGGCGGCGUGCCUAAUACAUGCCAGUCGAGCGAACAGAUAAGGAGCUUGCUCCUUUGACGUUAGCGGCGGACGGGUGAGUAACACGUGGGUAACCUACCUAUAAGACUGGAAUAACUCCGGGAAACCGGGGCUAAUGCCGGAUAACAUUUAGAACCGCAUGGUUCUAAAGUGAAAGAUGGUUUUGCUAUCACUUAUAGAUGGACCCGCGCCGUAUUAGCUAGUUGGUAAGGUAACGGCUUACCAAGGCAACGAUACGUAGCCGACCUGAGAGGGUGAUCGGCCACACGGGAACUGAGACACGGGCCAGACUCCUACGGGAGGCAGCAGUAGGGAAUCUUCCGCAAUGGGCGAAAGCCUGACGGAGCAACGCCGCGUGAGUGAUGAAGGUCUUCGGAUCGUAAAACGCUGUUAUUAGGGAAGAACAAAUGUGUAAGUAACUGGGCACGUCUUGACGGUACCUAAUCAGAAAGCCACGGCUAACUACGU